CACAGACUGGGCUGCACUCCUUUGUUCUAGCUGUCAGCUGAGAAUCUUUUCUCAGAGUCUUUAUGAAAGCACCAGCAACCUUACUUGUGUCCUUGGAGCUCGAUGGCUGUUCCUUUUCUCCCACCGAUGUCCCACAUGAUGACAGAGUGAUCUGAACUGCCUGAGAACAACACCCGCUGGACUGGGUCCCAACAGAGAGCGGUCACCCCACCUGAGAGGACAGACACAACCAGACAUCAGUCACAAGGUCAUUUAUAUUUGAAGCUUCAGAUCUUCGGUCAAAACAAUCAAAGAAUUUGAAGUUAUUCAUAAAUUGAUAAUUCAAUUUAUGAACCAGUCUCUUUGUCUUCCUUUACUUUUCUACUUGAAUUUUGGUUAUUUUCAUUGCAUAUUUACUUCUCCACUAAGACGCCUGAAAGAAGAGGAAUAAAGGCUGAAUUCAAUCUGAUUUAGUCUGUCACUUGUUGCCUUGGCUGAAUGACUGUUUGAGGUGGAGAUAGAAGAGAAUGAGUUCAUCUGUGGAGGUCUCUUAUCUACCAUUAGCUGUCUACUAUGAAGAUAAAUAGGGUUAAUGAUAUUAUUCAUAAUCUUUUAUGUUGAUUCAUAAAAUCUUCCUC
Molecule: long non-coding RNA, 617 nt
Filed under: Homo sapiens (human)
Lineage: Eukaryota; Metazoa; Chordata; Mammalia; Primates; Hominidae
Description: HSALNT0202056
Source: RNAcentral